CUUAAUGUGAACAAUACAUUCUCUCAAUAAUCUCCACUUAUUCAGUUUAUUAACAAACGCAAAGAACAAUAAUAACUGUAGCAGUGAGAGUGUUCUUUUAUUACAGAAAAUCACUUCAGUCGCCAUUAUGCCUCUUGUGCUUUGUGGAAAUCAGGUUUACAAACGUUCAGAAAGCCUCUAGACGAGACCAAGGAUGCUUUAUACGUUUCUAUUUCAGAGAGUUCUCGAUAUCAAUCACAAACCGGUACUUGAUGUCCUUCUUCACCACCCUUUCAAUAGCUUCGUUUGCCUUCUGAAUGGGAAUCACCUCAAUGUUGGGAUAAAUCUUAUGAGCUGCACAAAAAUCUAUCAUCUCCUGAGUCACCUUGGUACCUCCACUUACACUUCCCGCAAGCACUCUCAUACCUGUAUACCAAUGAUCCUUAUGGUCUAAGCAUCUUGAGGGUAUGUAUGUAAGCGUAUAACAAAGAGAUGCGUACCAAGGUUGAGAGUGGCAGGCUGGAUUUUAAUCUCACUUGGGAAACCAACCAGGACAUAAGUCCCAGCGAUCUUCAACAGCGACAUGUAAGGAUCAAACGCGUGAUCACCAGACGCUGUGUCAAUGAUAAAGUCUAGAGACUUCGCUAGUGCCUGCCAAGUUAACAUCACGUAGCUACCAAGUUAGGUUUUGGUUCCAUCCCUAAGAAAACCCCUCUCUCUCUCUACGUACCUUCAUCUGGUCAUGGGCAGAGGAGAUAACGAAGUUGUUAGCUCCAAGCAGACUCAAAGCCUCCUCUUUCUUGGAGACGCUGGUGCUGAACACCGUCACAUGAAGUCCAAAAGCCUUGCCGAACUUAACCGCCAUGUGGCCAAGCCCACCAAGCCCAACCACGCCAAGAGAUUUACCAGGCUGGUUCAUAUUGUGACGCAUCAUGGGAGCAUAGACAGUGACGCCAGCGCAUAGCAACGGCGCAGCUGAUUCCAAGGGAUAGUCCACAGGUAUCUUAUAACAAUACCUAUUGUAUCAAACUCAUCAGCCACUCACUCACUCACUCACAACUUUUUUAAAGAAUAUGACAAAAGAGAGAGAGAGAGAUGAUUAUAAAACCAACCUCUCGUGAACAACGAUGUGGCUAGAGUAGCCUCCUUUGGUAACAGAGCCAUCGUAAUCAACGCCGUUGAAAGUGAAGACUUGCCCUUUCACACAGCUAACCUCUUGUCCUUCGUCGCAGUAAUCACACUCCCUGCAGGAGUUAACAAACGUGCCGACACCAACGUGGUCUCCGACUUUGAACCGUGUGACAUUAGAUCCAACCUUGUUCACUACUCCAGCAAUCUCAUGCCUUAAAAACAGAGGAAUAUUUAAAUUAAAUAAAAACAUUAGGGAAGGUCAAAGUUGGAAGCUUUAAUAAGAGAUGGGUAUUGUUCAAAAAAACAUACCCAGGAACCAAAGGGUACUUAGAGUCACCAUGUUUGUUUUUUGUCCAGAUGACGUCAGCGUAACAGACACCACAGUGUGUGAUUUUUAGUGAAACGUCAUCGCUUGUUACAGAUCUGGUCAUGGAUAUGAACAUGGUGUAUCAAAUCAUUUGCAUGAGAUGAGGAUUGGUGGAUGGUUAAUGAAACGUACCUGCGAGUGAACGUGUGAGGGGAGAGGAGACCAGAUGGAUCUCGUGCAGCCCAACUCAAGCACUCGUCUCCUCCGGGAGAACUCAUCGGCGGUUUCGAUUCUUCCAUUACCUAAUCAAUGAUCAUCGUCUUCUUCUUCUUAGCUGGCUUGCAGAAUAUGAACAUGGUUCAUUAAAUUUUAGGGAAAAUUGUUUUUUAGAGCUAAACAAAUGAUAACCAUUUUCUUUUAUAUUAAUAUCUAUUUUAUGCAAUUUUUGUCUAUAAUACCUCUUAAUAUUUUUGAAAAUAAAUUUAAUAAAUAGUUUUACAAACAAAAAAAAUUAGAAAAAUAGUAACUAUUGAUAAAAUACCUAUAUGAACUUAUUGAUAUUUUUUCAAUUCUAAAAAUGUUUAAAUCAUAAUUUUCAGAUUCUAUUCUAAAUAAAGUAGAAAUGACAUUCUACGAAUUAGAAAACGAAAUCCAUUUUUUUCAUUGAAUCUAUAAUGUUUAGAAUAUGUGAUCGACGUAAAUAAGAAUAUUCUAAAAAUAUUUAGAAUACACAUUCCGCGCUUAACCUACCGAUCUAAAAUCUUUAGAAAUCAAAAUCUACACAUUAAUAUAAAUCUAAAACACGUAGAAACCGACUUCUACAGAUUUACUGUAAAUCUGAAACAUGUAGAAAUCAAAAUCUACGCAUUACUAUAAUUCUAAAAACCUGUAGAAACCGAUUUCUACAUAUUAGUUGUAAGAAAAAGGUAUGGAGGCACAAAUCAUUUUUUUAUCUGAUCUCUCUAAUAUCAAAUGUUGAUGAUGCUGGUGAAAAUUUUCAGGAGAGAGAGGAAGGUGGAAGGGGGAGGUUCAAGACCCACUCAAACGCACCUGCAAGAAUUGCAGACAGAGAGAAGAAAGCUCCACUUAAGCAAUAAGACACACUUGAUCAUCCUAAUUGAUCUCAUUUAAGACUUCAUAUGUAUUGUAUUGCAGUAUGUGAACAUAUUUGCAAACUAAUAUUAAAAGUUGGAACCGUUUGUGUUUUAAAAUAAGUUGAAAGUAUAGUUGUCCGCCACCAUUUCUUUAUAUAUGUUAUUAGUCCUGAAAUGAGCUCAUCAUAUCUGGAGGUGAAGCUUAUUGGUUUCAUAUUUUGACAAGAGAUAAGAACAGAUUCUUUCAAGAACAUUAGAAAGCAAAAGAUAAAAUGGUCCAAACAGUGACAUUGCAAUCUUCAAACUAAUCAUAUCUAAAAGAUACACAGAGAUUGCGUCUUUAUCUAUAAUCCGUGUUUAGUGGGGGACCAACAAGCUGUUGAAACGAUGGUUACUUAGCCUCUCUGGCUCUUUGCCCACAUAUGCCUCCCUGUUACUUGAGCCGGUGGGUACAGAUCCGAACCAGCACUACGCUUCACAUCCACAUCUCCGUUGAAAGACAUUGACUGUUUCUUCUCAAACGGUGUUUUGGAACAAGACGAUGAAGAAGAACCUGACCUUCUCUGCUUAGCUUUGAUAGACUGCGUCAAGCUCAUGUAGCUUGGCUUUCUGUAAUACCCUCCUUCCUCAAGGAAGCUUCCUGAGAAGGGAACCGGGGACUGAGACGUAGAGGAAGUCUCGGAACUAGUAGCUGAUGAUGACAUUGGAGGAGGUCUAGCUAAAACUCUGGUUGUGAGACUGUUCUUCCUAACCUGAACCGCGUCGUGUUCAGACACGCUGCUCUCGCUUUUCCUUGCGUUGUUGUCUGAUGAGUUUGUGGGACCACCUUCCAUCAACCGCCCUUCCCAUGGCCUGUCUGCAACCCAUCUGUCGAGCCAGUUCCAACCCGGACUGCUCUUGCAUGACCCGCUACUCUUCUUAACGCUCCCUUGUUUGUUCACCUUAGCGUUAGGGCUUGGACACGUCCUUGGCUGUCAAAGAUUUUGAGAAAACUCAGUAAACACAAAUGUCUCUGAAAGAGUUAAUUAAGUGCUUUUCAAGCCGUUUUACCUGGUGUGUGAGUGCAUAUACCAUAGCUCUCUCCCUCUUGAUAGCUCCUUCUUGCCUCAUUUGUAGCUUCGUUCUCACUUCAUUCACACUUCCAGGGCUAUCACACCAACCCUUCUACACGAAAAACAUCAAUGCAAAGUUUAGUCUUCUCUUACAUGCCUCAUGCCUUUGUCUGAUAAUAUUAUUACCUCAGCUUGCUUAGCAGGAUCAUUCUUUUCUUCAGAUGGCUUCUCCAACUCCUGUCCAUCUGAAGGAGCCCUGUUGCAAUGAGCUCGUACACGAGCUUGGACUCGAACAAGAGCUUGCAUACACCUUAAUGUCACAUCAGCUUGCUUCCUGACUUGCCUUCCACGGAAUAUCGCCUGAAUCCUCACCACCGCCUUCAAAGCUCUCAGCGCCUGCCUUGCCUAUAAAAAACAUUGACCACAAAAGCUUCAGACAAAACUGAAUUGACUAAGUUCAUUAGUUGUUGAUGUUUUGACUUAAAGUUUCUAACUUUAUGAAAGUAACAACCAUAUAGACACAAGUCACUGCAAUGAUCAAGUCUCUAAUGUCCAUGUAAGAGUGUGUUUGACUUAAAGUUUCUAACUUUAUGAAUGUAAAGACACAACUCAUUGCAAUUAUCAAGUCUCUAAUGUCCAUGUAAGAGUCAAUGUACCAGGAAAGAUCGAAAAGCAGCUUGGAUCCGAGUUGCAGCCCAUUCACGUUUAACAAGAAGGAAAUCUUUAGGUGGAGCUCUGAUAACAGCAGCAACAGACGCGGCAAAAGAAUCGUCGGCGGAGAAAGAAGGUGGAUCUGAGCCAAGAGAAGGAGUUCCAUAGCUACCAGCACGGCUCUUGAAACCUUUUGAGGAGGAGAUGAAACUCUCUGAAGAAGUCCUCCACAGUUUCCAUUUCUUCUUGCUGUUCUUAUCACCUAACUGAAAAAAGAUCAAUGCUUUAUAAGAGAGAUCGAAUCAUGGAGAUAGAGAAAGAGAGAGGCUUUGGAGAUUACCUGAUGAUCAUCAGUGAUGGGUUUUUUGUUAGAAAUCAGAGACUUAAUCCAGUUUCCAGAGCCACCCAUUUGUCAAGUUGGAGACUUUGUAAUCAGUUACUGUGGAGAAAGAUCAGAUUCGAGGAUAUAACUGGUAAAGGAUUCUUGGGAAGCGAGGAGGAAGAAGAUGAAGAAAGAGAGAGAAAGUUUUGGUGGCCUGUGAAUGAUGUAGACAAAAAGGGUUUGUAAUGUUAAAAGAAGAGAGAAGAAGCAUUUGAAAUUUGAAAUUUUGGGCGAAGGAAGAGAAAAGCAUUUGUUUAAUUUAAACAACGGUAACAUUGACAUCUCGCUUUCGUCUCGUAAUAAAUAAAUAAAAGGAUAAUAAAUGACUCUUUUAACUUUGGAAAAUUAAAUAAUUUAUAUCUCAUGUCCCGCGUGGUGAUAAUGUUUACUAAAUAUGCUUUUAGGUCCAUGUAUAUAUGAAUUGUUAUGAAAGGACCACUAACUAUUUAUUUCUUUGUCUUUUCACCCCGUAACUCUUGUAAGCGUUAAAAAGUCCAUUUAGUGUUUUUAAUUUGUAUGGGAUCCAUCUUAGUGGUAUUGGUUUUUGUAUCGGGACUAGGUAAUAAUCUGCGCCUUGCGCGGAAUGUGAUUAUUAGUUUCGUUAUUUUUAAUAAAAACAAAUUAAAUUUGUUUAAUCUGGAUAUCAGUUUGGUUUUAAGUUAUUUUUUUGUUUUAAUCUCAUAAAAUAUAACUAUUAUUUUAAAUUAAUAUUUAUUUUGGUUUAUUCGGUUAGAAUGUUUGAUUUUUUAGUUUUUUCUGUAAAAACCAAAAAUUACUAUUAUUUUUUUAUUUUCAUGUUAUGAAUUUUAGAUAGUCGUCGUGUCGAACCAAUGGUUUCAUAUCAUAGUUUGUAAACGGAUAAUAGUUCAAGAAAAAUAAAAAAAAUUAUUAAGACAAAUAAUUUCACUACAAUUUGAUCAGUAGUGAAAGAAGCAUUAAGAAAAAAAUAUUUCAACUUCCAAAAAAAAAUAGAUACUUCAGUUGUCGUAAAUACUUAGUCACAAGGUGCUCACGUCAAUGUGCACAUGUAUGUGUAUGUAAAAGUAUAUAAAAAUAGUUGACAAUUAUAUAAAGAUAUUGUUAAUUAAUAUUAAAUGACAUUUUGUUCAAAAUAAUACAUGAAAGAUAAAAUUAAAAUUAAUUAAAAAUUAAAAAGGCCUUGACAUUAGUGAAUUUUUUUCAUAUAAAGAAAAAUAAAUUGUAUCUGUAAAUAGAGGUGAGCACAUAUCAAAUAUCCGGGUAUUUGGAGGCAUUUAUGUCGAUUCAAUCUUUAGCCACAUGGAUAGUCGGUGACUCUGAUAUCCGAAAUGAUUUAGAAUUUUAAAGAAUAUCCGAUUUGAUCCGUAGAUAAAAUAAAAUUUUAAAAAUAAUUGAAAAUUUUAAUAAUAACAUUUUAUUACAAAAAUAAAAAAUAUAUAUUAUUUAACUUUUAGAAUUUACCUAAUAUAAUAAAUUUAAUUCAUAAAAAUAUGUAAAACUUAUACAAACUAUAAUAUAUAUAACAUAUAUAUAUAUAAUUUUGUACAUAUAUGUAUAUAUAUGUAUAUAACAGAUCGAAUUAGAUAUCCGUUCCUAAUAAUAUUGGUAUUUGUGAUUUGUUUUUUUUUUAUAUAUUGUAUUUUAGUAUUUGAUUUGCUUCUUAAAGUUACGGAUAUCCAUAUUUUUUGGUUCAAAUCAAAACGGAUAACGAAUCAAAUCAAAAUUUAUAAAUAUUUUGCCUAACUUUAUCCGUAAAUAAUAAAAAUAAUAUAUAUAUAGUUUAACUUUAGAUUCGUUAUUUGUUUUGAUUCGAACCGAAAAAUCCAAAGUUUUAUUGAAAGUGAGUUUUAUAUUAAAAAAUACGAAAUAUAUAGUAUAUAUGAACACAUUUAUGAAUAUAGUGUGAACGCGUUAGCAUAUUUAUUAUCAAAUCAUUAUGAGGUUGCCACGUGUCUAUUAUAGUACGUGUCUAUUAUAGUGUGAAUGCAUUUAUUACGAUGUUUUUUUUUAAUAUAUAAGGGAUUAUAUAAAAAAUAUGUCAUCUGUUAUAGAAAAAUAGCAUUUUCGAAAAUGGAAGAUUAGAAAAUAAAACAACCUUGAAGUGGACAAAGAAAACAAUCUUGAUGUGGACAAAAAACAAUCUAGUGGAAACAUAUGAUAUAACAUCAGUUUAACAUUUAAAAAAAAAAACACAGUACGACACGGUGAUUAUAGAAAGGGGAAUUGGGUUGUAGAAAUGAAUACUACAAAAGUUGGUAGUGUGGUUAGAUCAUAGACCCAGUCACUAUAGAAAUAAAGAAAACCAAUAAUACAAAUCCACCACUAUGACAAUGUUCAUCUCAAUAUUAUAAUUUCUUUGUAUUUUAGUUUUAAACACUUAUAAAUCCACUAAAUACAAAUCUUUAGACAAAUUCUUAUUAUUGAAUAAUAUUGAUUCUAAAAUAUGUUACCGAUUUUAAAAUCAAGAAUCGAUAACAAUUGAUUUAAAUAUAAGAAUCGAUAACAGUUGAUUUAAAUAUAGAUUUCAAAAUCAUAAAACCAAUAAUGACACAUUCCAAAUACAAGAACCAAUAACAUCAGCUUAAUGUGAACAAUACAUUCUCUCAAUAAUCUCCACUUAUUCAGUUUAUUAACAAACGCAAAGAACAAUAAUAACUGUAGCAGUGAGAGUGUUCUUUUAUUACAGAAAAUCACUUCAGUCGCCAUUAUGCCUCUUGUGCUUUGUGGAAAUCAGGUUUACAAACGUUCAGAAAGCCUCUAGACGAGACCAAGGAUGCUUUAUACGUUUCUAUUUCAGAGAGUUCUCGAUAUCAAUCACAAACCGGUACUUGAUGUCCUUCUUCACCACCCUUUCAAUAGCUUCGUUUGCCUUCUGAAUGGGA
This 7457-nucleotide long non-coding RNA is filed under the name Brassica napus (rape). Its description in RNAcentral is "long non-coding RNA (BNAP_LNC019266)". Lineage: Eukaryota; Viridiplantae; Streptophyta; Magnoliopsida; Brassicales; Brassicaceae. The record is from RNAcentral.